This 1737-nucleotide ribosomal RNA is filed under the name Salmonella enterica subsp. enterica serovar Ealing. RNAcentral's name for it is "bacterial LSU rRNA". It matches the Rfam family "Bacterial large subunit ribosomal RNA", at positions 1223 to 2925 of the family's 2925-position model. The record is from RNAcentral. Lineage: Bacteria; Pseudomonadati; Pseudomonadota; Gammaproteobacteria; Enterobacterales; Enterobacteriaceae.
GUUGGGUAGGGGAGCGUUCUGUAAGCCUGUGAAGGUGUGUCGUGAGGCAUGCUGGAGGUAUCAGAAGUGCGAAUGCUGACAUAAGUAACGAUAAAGCGGGUGAAAAGCCCGCUCGCCGGAAGACCAAGGGUUCCUGUCCAACGUUAAUCGGGGCAGGGUGAGUCGACCCCUAAGGCGAGGCCGAAAGGCGUAGUCGAUGGGAAACGGGUUAAUAUUCCCGUACUUGGUGUUACUGCGAAGGGGGGACGGAGAAGGCUAUGUUGGCCGGGCGACGGUUGUCCCGGUUUAAGCGUGUAGGUGUGUGUUCCAGGUAAAUCCGGUUCACUUUAACACUGAGGCGUGAUGACGAGGCACUACGGUGCUGAAGCAACAAAUGCCCUGCUUCCAGGAAAAGCCUCUAAGCAUCAGGUAACAUCAAAUCGUACCCCAAACCGACACAGGUGGUCAGGUAGAGAAUACCAAGGCGCUUGAGAGAACUCGGGUGAAGGAACUAGGCAAAAUGGUGCCGUAACUUCGGGAGAAGGCACGCUGACAUGUAGGUGAAGUGAUUUACUCACGGAGCUGAAGUCAGUCGAAGAUACCAGCUGGCUGCAACUGUUUAUUAAAAACACAGCACUGUGCAAACACGAAAGUGGACGUAUACGGUGUGACGCCUGCCCGGUGCCGGAAGGUUAAUUGAUGGGGUCAGCGCAAGCGAAGCUCCUGAUCGAAGCCCCGGUAAACGGCGGCCGUAACUAUAACGGUCCUAAGGUAGCGAAAUUCCUUGUCGGGUAAGUUCCGACCUGCACGAAUGGCGUAAUGAUGGCCAGGCUGUCUCCACCCGAGACUCAGUGAAAUUGAACUCGCUGUGAAGAUGCAGUGUACCCGCGGCAAGACGGAAAGACCCCGUGAACCUUUACUAUAGCUUGACACUGAACAUUGAGCCUUGAUGUGUAGGAUAGGUGGGAGGCUUUGAAGUGUGGACGCCAGUCUGCAUGGAGCCAACCUUGAAAUACCACCCUUUAAUGUUUGAUGUUCUAACGUGGACCCGUGAUCCGGGUUGCGGACAGUGUCUGGUGGGUAGUUUGACUGGGGCGGUCUCCUCCUAAAGAGUAACGGAGGAGCACGAAGGUUGGCUAAUCCUGGUCGGACAUCAGGAGGUUAGUGCAAUGGCAUAAGCCAGCUUGACUGCGAGCGUGACGGCGCGAGCAGGUGCGAAAGCAGGUCAUAGUGAUCCGGUGGUUCUGAAUGGAAGGGCCAUCGCUCAACGGAUAAAAGGUACUCCGGGGAUAACAGGCUGAUACCGCCCAAGAGUUCAUAUCGACGGCGGUGUUUGGCACCUCGAUGUCGGCUCAUCACAUCCUGGGGCUGAAGUAGGUCCCAAGGGUAUGGCUGUUCGCCAUUUAAAGUGGUACGCGAGCUGGGUUUAGAACGUCGUGAGACAGUUCGGUCCCUAUCUGCCGUGGGCGCUGGAGAACUGAGGGGGGCUGCUCCUAGUACGAGAGGACCGGAGUGGACGCAUCACUGGUGUUCGGGUUGUCAUGCCAAUGGCACUGCCCGGUAGCUAAAUGCGGAAGAGAUAAGUGCUGAAAGCAUCUAAGCACGAAACUUGCCCCGAGAUGAGUUCUCCCUGAGACUUAGAGUCUCCUGAAGGAACGUUGAAGACGACGACGUUGAUAGGCCGGGUGUGUAAGCGCAGCGAUGCGUUGAGCUAACCGGUACUAAUGAACCGUGAGGCUUAACCUUACAACGCCGAAG